AUUCCAGCUCCAAUAGCGUAUAUUAAAGUUGUUGCGGUUAAAAAGCUCGUAGUUGGAUUUCUGCCGAGGAUGACCGGUCCGCCCUGUGGGUGUGCAUCUGGCUCAGCCUUGGCAUCUUCCUGAAGAACGUAGCUGCACUUGACUGUGUGGUGCGGUAUUUAGGACAUUUACUUUGAGGAAAUUAGAGUGUUUCAAGCAAGCGCACGCUUUGAAUACAUUAGCAUGGAAUAAUAAGAUAGGACCUCGGUUCUAUUUUGUUGGUUUCUAGAGCUGAGGUAAUGAUUGAUAGGGAUAGUUGGGGGUGCUAGUAUUUUGCGGCCAGAGGUGAAAUUCUGUGAUUCGCGAAAGACUAACUUAUGCGAAAGCAUUCACCAAGGAUAUCUUCAUCA
Molecule: ribosomal RNA, 389 nt
Filed under: Biecheleria sp.
Lineage: Eukaryota; Dinophyceae; Suessiales; Biecheleriaceae
Description: partial small subunit ribosomal RNA
Rfam family: Eukaryotic small subunit ribosomal RNA
Source: RNAcentral